This is a long non-coding RNA of Chiloscyllium plagiosum (whitespotted bambooshark), 320 nucleotides long. RefSeq lists it as uncharacterized. NCBI's taxonomy places the organism in Eukaryota, Metazoa, Chordata, Chondrichthyes, Orectolobiformes, Hemiscylliidae. The record is from RefSeq and is a predicted model, not a curated record.
ACAAGGUAAGUUAUUAAAGGAUUAGUUUACCUUCCCGGCAGUCCCCGGUACUUGCUCUCACUGCUCCUGCUGCAAAAAUGGAGGCUGCUGAUCCAACAAGAAUAAAAACCUACCCAAAAUGCUAACGAAUUGUACAAGCAGGACGAGUUGCACCUGAAUCAGACGGGCACCAAUAUCCUGGGAGGUUUGCACCUUCACAGUGGCGCAGUAAGAGGUGUCAAGUUGAAAUUUGAGCAAACGCUGCCGUAUCCAGUAGUCUAGCCAUUGGCCUGAAGUCCGAGGAGAACUAAACCAUACUAACGACGCAAUGUCCACCUCCC